GGAGAAGAAUUCUACAUUUACAAAUGAGUAAAUGACUCUGUGGUUGCAUUCCUCGUUUUACAUAUGGAUGACAUUCUCUUAAUCGAAAAUAACAUCCCUGCAUUAUAAGAAAUAAAAAUCUGGUUAUCGUCUCAGUUCUCUGAAGGACUUCGGAGAAGCAUCCUACAUCUUUGGGAUGAAAAUCUAUAGAGAUAGAUCGAAAAGGUUGCU
RNAcentral lists this long non-coding RNA (210 nucleotides) under Elaeis guineensis (African oil palm). RNAcentral describes it as "long non-coding RNA (EGUI_LNC080797)". Lineage: Eukaryota; Viridiplantae; Streptophyta; Magnoliopsida; Arecales; Arecaceae. The record is from RNAcentral.